UACGGAGGAUGCAAGCGUUAUCCGGAUUUAUUAGGUUUAAAGGGUGCGUAGGCGGCCCGGUAAGUCAGUGGUGAAAUCCCGCAGCUCAACUGCGGAACUGCCAUUGAUACUGUCGGGCUUGAGUACGGUCGAGGUAGGCGGAAUGUGUAAUGUAGCGGUGAAAUGCUUAGAUAUUACACAGAACACCGAUUGCGUAGGCAGCUUACUAGACCGGUACUGACGCUGAGGCACGAAAGCGUGGGUAUCGAACAGG
This 253-nucleotide ribosomal RNA is filed under the name uncultured bacterium. RNAcentral describes it as "partial 16S ribosomal RNA". It matches the Rfam family "Bacterial small subunit ribosomal RNA", at positions 524 to 776 of the family's 1533-position model. The record is from RNAcentral.